CAGGCCUAACACAUGCAAGUCGAACGAGGUUUGGUCAGUUUGCGGUGGUGCUUGCAUCACCAAUUACCGAUCAAACCGAGUGGCGGACGGGUGAGUAACACGUGGGUAACCUGCCCUUCAGCAGGGGAUAACAUUUGGAAACAGAUGCUAAUACCGUAUAACCACGGAGACCGCAUGGUCUCCGGGUAAAAGAUGGCGCAAGCUAUCACUGAAGGAUGGACCCGCGGCGUAUUAGCCAGUUGGUGGGGUAACGGCCUACCAAAGCGAUGAUACGUAGCCGACCUGAGAGGGUAAUCGGCCACAUUGGGACUGAGACACGGCCCAAACUCCUACGGGAGGCAGCAGUAGGGAAUCUUCCACAAUGGACGCAAGUCUGAUGGAGCAACGCCGCGUGAGUGAAGAAGGCUUUCGGGUCGUAAAACUCUGUUAUUGAAGAAGAACGUGUGUGACAGUAACUGGUCAUGCAGUGACGGUAUUCAAUCAGAAAGUCACGUCUAACUACGUGCCAGCAGCCGCGGUAAU
RNAcentral lists this ribosomal RNA (522 nucleotides) under uncultured bacterium. Its description in RNAcentral is "bacterial SSU rRNA". It matches the Rfam family "Bacterial small subunit ribosomal RNA", at positions 43 to 524 of the family's 1533-position model. The record is from RNAcentral.